UACGUAGGGUGCGAGCGUUGUCCGGAAUUAUUGGGCGUAAAGGGCUCGUAGGCGGUUUGUCGCGUCGGGAGUGAAAUCCACUGGCUUAACUGGUGGCUUGCUUUCGAUACGGGCAGACUGGAGGUAUGCAGGGGAGAACGGAAUUCCUGGUGUAGCGGUGAAAUGCGCAGAUAUCAGGAGGAACACCGGUGGCGAAGGCGGUUCUCUGGGACGGUAUUGACGCUAAGGCGCGAAAGCGUGGGGAGCAAACAGG
This 253-nucleotide ribosomal RNA is filed under the name uncultured bacterium. Its description in RNAcentral is "partial 16S ribosomal RNA". It matches the Rfam family "Bacterial small subunit ribosomal RNA", at positions 524 to 776 of the family's 1533-position model. The record is from RNAcentral.